This 501-nucleotide ribosomal RNA is filed under the name uncultured bacterium. RNAcentral's name for it is "bacterial SSU rRNA". It matches the Rfam family "Bacterial small subunit ribosomal RNA", at positions 28 to 524 of the family's 1533-position model. The record is from RNAcentral.
GAUGAACGCUAGCGGGAGGCUUAACACAUGCAAGUCGAGGGGCAGCACUGAUAGCAAUAUUAGGUGGCGACCGGCGGACGGGUGAGUAACGCGUAUGCAACCUACCCUUUACAGGGGGAUAGCCCGGAGAAAUUCGGAUUAAUACCCCAUAGAUCAGUGAUUCUGCAUGGGAUUACUGGUAAAGCUUCGGCGGUAAAGGAUGGGCAUGCGUCCCAUUAGCUAGUUGGUAGGGUAACGGCCUACCAAGGCAACGAUGGGUACGGGGUCUUAAAGGAUGGACCCGCACACUGGCACUGAGACACGGGCCAGACUCCUACGGGAGGCAGCAGUGAGGAAUAUUGGUCAAUGGGGGGAACCCUGAACCAGCCAUCCCGCGUGCAGGAAGACAGUUCUAUGGAUUGUAAACUGCUUUUCUUGGGGAAGAAUAAUGACGACGUGUCGUCAGAUGACGGUACCCGAGGAAUAAGCAUCGGCUAACUCCGUGCCAGCAGCCGCGGUAAU